Molecule: long non-coding RNA, 856 nt
Organism: Rhincodon typus (whale shark)
Lineage: Eukaryota; Metazoa; Chordata; Chondrichthyes; Orectolobiformes; Rhincodontidae
Exons: 3
Source: RefSeq, a predicted model, not a curated record
AGAUAUCUAGAGUGCGCCCCUGAGACAGUUUUUUGUCCCUUUGCAUUUGGAAAUAGAGAGGGCGUAAGUCCGAGCUGAAACCCGCUUUUCAAAACUCAAUUGUUCUUGACCACAGUGGUCAGUUUCUACAAAUAACCGGCCCUUAAUCGACUACUUGAGGGACUUCUGGAAGCCUCCCAACUCUGGAAGGUUCUCAGUCAGAUAAAAAGGAAUGUUGUAUUCAGACUGAUGCCAUGAAUCUCAAGAGGCACUUCACCAAAAUGACAGUGGGCUAAUUAUUCCAGUGAGCUGGUAACCGACUGUUUUAAAUUUUAGCUCCUUUAAAAAAAAAUGCAAUGGGCUUGCUGUAGCUGGUCUGGCAAAAAAAAACUAUAUUUGCUGCUGCAGGGACUUCAGUAAAGACAUGAAUUAUGAAGACCAAGAUGAACAAAGGGACUGUUGUGUCGAUUUUGUUGCUGAAUGGUUUGCGAUAAUUAAUACACCCAACACUCACCAACAAAUGGGAACUGCUUCUUUAAUGUUCUUCUGAUGUGUAGUAAAUUGGUUGAGAUGCAUCUACUUCAAAGAUGUCCCAUAAUUGUAGUUCUAUAGUAUGCUUGCUAUAUUGUAUGUGGAGAGCAUGGAAGGGAUUGAUAUGUGUUUUUAAUGACUUGCGUUGAGUGUGGCAGUCAGCAGAGAGGCUUAUCAAUUCUAUGAGGCAGGCAUAUCUGUUGUAAUUAUUUUUACACCAGUAGAGACACAUUUCAUCUAUACAGCAUGCUUUUGUUUGGUGCUUUACAUUUGGAAACAGAUUUAGGUAUUAAGUGUCUAAUGUCUGGGCCAGGGAAUCCUUUUCAGAAUUAGUAAUACUGACCAG